This 409-nucleotide ribosomal RNA is filed under the name Fusobacteriota bacterium. RNAcentral's name for it is "Fusobacteria bacterium partial 16S ribosomal RNA". It matches the Rfam family "Bacterial small subunit ribosomal RNA", at positions 355 to 776 of the family's 1533-position model. The record is from RNAcentral. Lineage: Bacteria; Fusobacteriati; Fusobacteriota.
UGGGGAAUAUUGCACAAUGGAGGGAACUCUGAUGCAGCAACGCCGCGUGCGGGAUGACGGCCUUCGGGUUGUAAACCGCUUUCAGCCAUGACGAAGCUUUUGUGACGGUAGUGGUAGAAGAAGCACCGGCUAACUACGUGCCAGCAGUCGCGGUGAUACGUAGGGUGCGAGCGUUGUCCGGAAUUAUUGGGCGUAAAGAGCUUGUAGGCGGUUUGUCGCGUCGAUAGUGUAAACACGCAGCUUAACUGUGUGCCUGCUGUCGAUACGGGCUGACUAGAGGAGGGUAGGGGAGAAUGGAAUUCCCGGUGGAGCGGUGGAAUGCGCAGAUAUCGGGAGGAACACCAGUGGCGAAGGCGGUUCUCUGGACCUUUCCUGACGCUGAGAAGCGAAAGCGUGGGUAGCAAACAGG